CGCCUGUUUACCAAAAACAUAGCCAUAAGACGAUAUUUUUGGUUCAACCUGCCCAAUGUGAAAAUGAAUGGCCGCGGUACCCUGACCGUGCUAAGGUAGCGUAAUCAUUUGGCUUUUAAAUGGAGCCAGGUAUGAAUGGGAGAACCUGGUUCAGCUGUCUCCGAAUUAGUUAUUUGAAUUUACUGUUUAAGUGAAAAAGCUUAAUUUUAAUAAAGGGACGAGAAGACCCUUAGAAUUUUUUUCAAAGACAAUAGUAUGGUCUACGAUUUUGUUGGGGUGACAAAGAGAUAAUUAAAACUUUCUUUUUAAACAAGCCGAUUAUAUUAAGGAAGGAUAAAUUACCUGAGGGAUAACAGCAUAAUUCUACAAGUGAGUUUGUGACCUCGAUGUUGGACUAGGAAACUAGCAGGCUAGCCGUUUGCUGUGUUGGUUCUGUUCGAACUAUAAUUCCU
RNAcentral lists this ribosomal RNA (452 nucleotides) under Phidiana militaris. Its description in RNAcentral is "partial 16S ribosomal RNA". It matches the Rfam family "Archaeal large subunit ribosomal RNA", at positions 1889 to 2665 of the family's 2987-position model. The record is from RNAcentral. Lineage: Eukaryota; Metazoa; Mollusca; Gastropoda; Nudibranchia; Glaucidae.